CUGGCUGGCCGGACACGCAACACCGCGCUCAGCGCUUACCCUAAGACAUAGUAGUGUGUGUCAUUUAUUGUUGUGAGUGGUAUGUACGUUAAUUACCAUUACUGUUCACCAACAGCCUUUUGCAGUCCGGUGGUCGUUGCGUCCUUUUGGCUCACCGAAUCCGCUUGCCCAACGCUCUACGAUACGCUAUGUCUUCAAAACCACUACCGAUGGAUGACCCUGCUGCAGAAACGAUCACUUUAGGAUGCUGUGGGAAGGACGUCACCGGAAGAUCGCCAUAAGCCUGCAGAUCAGGAUGUCUGUCAGACCAGGUAUUAAGCCGCCCCAGGACGCCCUGCCGGGACGCCCGUAGAUCCGGCAGAGGACCAGGAACUCGCCAGGCAGGUACCAGUUGCUCCAGGAUGCUGUGGAAGAGCGCCGUCUGCCUGAACGCCUGCAGAUUCAGUCAAACUCCAGAAGCUCGUCAGUGUAGGUAUCAGCCACCCUGAGAUGCCAAAGAGGAGGCCGUAGAUCCAGACGAAGAUUACGAGGACGUCUGGACGAGCACGCAGCCGAGGAGGACCUGAACGAGAUCUGCGAGGACGUGUGAACCAGUACGCCACCGAGUUAGACCCGGAUGAGGACCACGAGGAAGUCUAGACGAGUCCGAAGUCAUGGAGGACCUAUGCGAGACCUUCCAGGACGUGUGGACGUCGGGGAUGGAGGGAUUACACUAAGCACCAGGAAGAAGAGGACAAGGACGAGCAGCAAGGCAGAUGGACCAAGGACAACACACACGAGAACGAGAUGACCAGCAAAUCAGGACCAGCCAAAGUUGGAUUACCCUUGAGGCCAAUCUAAGGCACCUCGAGAGCGAGACGUUAAUAGGUGGCCGAGCAAUAUGGUAGGUCAUUAAACAGACGGAAACAGUGACGUCGCCUCACUCCCCCCACAUUUCCUGCAGCUGAUGUAACACGCCACGUUUUCGGUGGACGCUCAUUGCUGGUUCCGAAGGAUGACCCAGUCUUCAGUCAGUUCGCUCCCAGAAGUCAUCCUAACAAGGCCCCACGACACUGCGAUCAGCUCUUACCCUAAGACGUCUCGUCUGUUCUUUACUGUGUUGUACUCUUCCGUAAUAAAGAGUCAAGCCGUUA
This is a long non-coding RNA of Penaeus monodon (black tiger shrimp), 1133 nucleotides long. RefSeq lists it as uncharacterized. The transcript has 2 exons. NCBI's taxonomy places the organism in Eukaryota, Metazoa, Arthropoda, Malacostraca, Decapoda, Penaeidae. The record is from RefSeq and is a predicted model, not a curated record.